Molecule: unclassified non-coding RNA, 332 nt
Filed under: soil metagenome
Description: partial contains 5.8S ribosomal RNA, internal transcribed spacer 2, and large subunit ribosomal RNA
Rfam family: 5.8S ribosomal RNA (bases 1-120)
Source: RNAcentral
GAUGAAGAACGCAGCGAAAUGCGAUAAGUAGUGUGAAUUGCAGAAUUCAGUGAAUCAUCGAAUCUUUGAACGCACAUUGCGCCCCUCGGUAUUCCGUGGGGCAUGCCUGUUCGAGCGUCAUUUACCCCUCAAGCACUGCUUGGUGUUGGGCGUCUGUCCCGCUUCGCGCGCGGACUCGCCCCAAAGGUAUUGGCAGCGGUCGUGCCAGCUUCUCGCGCAGCACAUUGCGCUUCUCGAGGCGGUCGAUCGGCGUCCACGAAGCUCACCUCCACCGUUUGACCUCGGAUCAGGUAGGGAUACCCGCUGAACUUAAGCAUAUCAAUAGCGGAGGA